This 468-nucleotide ribosomal RNA is filed under the name uncultured bacterium. Its description in RNAcentral is "partial 16S ribosomal RNA". It matches the Rfam family "Bacterial small subunit ribosomal RNA", at positions 28 to 507 of the family's 1533-position model. The record is from RNAcentral.
GACGAACGCUGGCGGCGUGCUUAACACAUGCAAGUCGAACGGAAAGGCCCUGCUUUUGUGGGGUGCUCGAGUGGCGAACGGGUGAUUAACACGUGAGUAACCUGCCCUUGACUUUGUGAUAACUUCAGGAAACUGGGGCUAAUACCGGAUAGGAUCUCCUGCUGCAUGGUGUGGGUUGGAAAGUUUCGGCGUUUGGGGAUGGACUCGCGGCUUAUCAGCUUGUUGGUGGGGUAGUUGCUUACCCAGGCUUUGACGGGUAGCCGGCAUUAGAGGGUGACCGGGCACAUGGGGACUGCGAUACGGACCAGACUCCUACGGGAGGCAGCAGGGGGGAAUAUUGCACAAUGGGCGGGCGCCUGAGGCAGAAACGCCGCGUGCGGGAUGACGGCUUUCGGGUUGUAAACCGCUUUCGCCGGUGACGAAGCGUGAGUGACGGUAAUGGGUAAAGAAGCACCGGCUAACUACGUG